Molecule: long non-coding RNA, 1137 nt
Organism: Capsicum annuum
Lineage: Eukaryota; Viridiplantae; Streptophyta; Magnoliopsida; Solanales; Solanaceae
Exons: 4
Source: RefSeq, a predicted model, not a curated record
CAGAUUUCACUUGCAAGAAGUUGAAGCUCUAUAAGUGGAAAAAAAUUACUGAUUUCAAAAUUGAAAAACUCAUCUUCAAAACCUAACCAAAAAAUCAUUCCAAUGUAUAACCAAACAAUGUUUCGAAAAUAUUUUUUGGAAAAAAGGGGAAAACUUUCUAUGUUGAAAAGGUUUCUAGGAUAGUUGUUGGUUUGUGAUGGUGUGGUUUGUCUUCUUAUGAGGUGCUAGUGGGGGUGAAAGGUAGGUUCUUAGGUGAUGGAUGGCUGUAUGAAGAGGGUGGUGGUCAAGUUACCUCUUCAAGCUAUUUGAGGGCGAUUUUUUCUUUUCUAUAUUGCCAUGUAUGCAGUUAUGCUAGUAUGGUUCCAUGACUACUUUAGUUUCACGGAUUUAUGUGCUUUUGGUUUGUGUCUCCUUCACAAAGAACAAUGUAAUAUCCUCAAGUCAUAUGCUAUGGGAAUUGGACCCAGGAUUAUCUAUCUGCUUGUGAUAUGAUAAAUGAUUGAUAAGAGCAAAUUUAUCAUCAGAAUGUGCAGAACACAGGAGAGUUCAUGAUGUCAAGAUACAGGGAAGUUGCUGAAAUUGUUCUAAGAUAUCUGGAGCACUGAGAUCGCCUAGUUCGCCUCAACAUAACUUCUCUACUUCCUCGAAUUGCCCAUUUCCUGCGUGAUCAAUUUGUGACUAAUUAUUUAAUGAUAUGCAUGAAUCAUAUACUUCAUGUCCUUAAAAUACCUGCAGAACGUGCCAGUGGGUUCAUCGCUCUUGGGGAGAUGGAUGGUGCUCUGGAUGGUGAACUCAUUAACUAUUUGCCGACAAUAUCCUCUCACUUGCGUGAUGCGAUUGCUCCCCGUAGAGGCAGGCCCUCACUUGAGGCGCUAGCAAGUGUUGGAAAUAUUGCUAAAGCAAUGGGACCAACUUGGAGCCUCUCGUGGUCUCUUAGAUUCUAUGUUUUCUUCUGGGCUUUCCCUGACUCUGGUGGAAGCGUUGGAGCAAAUAACUGAAAGUAUUCCACCUUUGUUGCCGACCAUCCAAAAUCGGCUGCUUGAAUUUAUCUCUACAAUCCUUUCAAGAUCUCAUCAUUCAAUGCCAAGACAAUCAACUUCUGUGAGUCGAGGGCAUAUUACAACGGUUACCCCCCAA